ACGCACGCUGGCGGCAUGCCUCAUCCCUGCCAGUCGCACGAGAUCUUCGGAUCUAGUGGCGCACGGGUGCGUAACGCGUGGGAAUCUGCCCUUGGGUUCGGAAUAACUUCUGGAAACGGAAGCUAAUACCGGAUGAUGACGUAAGUCCAAAGAUUUAUCGCCCAAGGAUGAGCCCGCGUAGGAUUAGGUAGUUGGUGAGGUAAAGGCUCACCAAGCCGACGAUCCUUAGCUGGUCUGAGAGGAUGAUCAGCCACACUGGGACUGAGACACGGCCCAGACUCCUACGGGAGGCAGCAGUAGGGAAUAUUGGACAAUGGGCGAAAGCCUGAUCCAGCAAUGCCGCGUGAGUGAUGAAGGCCUUAGGGUUGUAAAGCUCUUUUACCCGGGAUGAUAAUGACAGUACCGGGAGAAUAAGCUCCGGCUAACUCCGUG
This 432-nucleotide ribosomal RNA is filed under the name uncultured bacterium. RNAcentral describes it as "partial 16S ribosomal RNA". It matches the Rfam family "Bacterial small subunit ribosomal RNA", at positions 29 to 507 of the family's 1533-position model. The record is from RNAcentral.